UACGUAGGUGGCAAGCGUUAUCCGGAAUUAUUGGGCGUAAAGAGCGCGCAGGUGGUUAAUUAAGUCUGGAGUGAAAGCCCACGGCUUAACCGUGGAGGGUCAUUGGAAACUGGUUGACUUGAGUGCAGAAGAGGGAAGUGGAAUUCCAUGUGUAGCGGUGAAAUGCGUAGAGAUAUGGAGGAACACCAGUGGCGAAGGCGGCUUCCUGGUCUGCAACUGACACUGAGGCGCGAAAGCGUGGGGAGCAAACAGG
Molecule: ribosomal RNA, 253 nt
Filed under: uncultured bacterium
Lineage: Bacteria
Description: partial 16S ribosomal RNA
Rfam family: Bacterial small subunit ribosomal RNA
Source: RNAcentral